UAGUCCACGCCGUAAACGAUGUCAACUAGCCGUCGGGCUCAUUAUAAGGGUUUGGUGGCGCAGCUAACGCGAUAAGUUGACCGCCUGGGGAGUACGCCGGCAACGGUAAAACUCAAAGGAAUUGACGGGGGGCCCGCACAAGCGGUGGAGCAUGUGGUUUAAUUCGAUGCAACGCGAAGAACCUUACCUACCCUUGACAUCCUCAGAACUUGUUAGAGAUAACUUGGUGCCUUCGGGAAUUGAGUGACAGGUGCUGCAUGGCUGUCGUCAGCUCGUGUCGUGAGAUGUUGGGUUAAGUCCCGCAACGAGCGCAACCCUUGUCCCUAGUUGCCAGCACAUAAUGGUGGGAACUCUAGGGAGACUGCCGGUGACAAACCGGAGGAAGGUGGGGAGUGACGUCAAGUCAUCAUGGCCCUUAUGGGUAGGGCUACACACGCGCUACAAUGGUCGGUACAGAGGGUUGCCAACCCGCGAGGGGGAGCGUAAUCUGCAAAGACAUGCUAAUCUCAUAAACACGGCCU
RNAcentral lists this ribosomal RNA (521 nucleotides) under uncultured bacterium. Its description in RNAcentral is "bacterial SSU rRNA". It matches the Rfam family "Bacterial small subunit ribosomal RNA", at positions 791 to 1306 of the family's 1533-position model. The record is from RNAcentral.